Molecule: ribosomal RNA, 1493 nt
Filed under: Shigella sonnei
Lineage: Bacteria; Pseudomonadati; Pseudomonadota; Gammaproteobacteria; Enterobacterales; Enterobacteriaceae
Description: partial 23S ribosomal RNA
Rfam family: Bacterial large subunit ribosomal RNA
Source: RNAcentral
GCUUAUGCGUUGUUGGGUAGGGGAGCGUUCUGUAAGCCUGCGAAGGUGUGCUGUGAGGCAUGCUGGAGGUAUCAGAAGUGCGAAUGCUGACAUAAGUAACGAUAAAGCGGGUGAAAAGCCCGCUCGCCGGAAGACCAAGGGUUCCUGUCCAACGUUAAUCGGGGCAGGGUGAGUCGACCCCUAAGGCGAGGCCGAAAGGCGUAGUCGAUGGGAAACAGGUUAAUAUUCCUGUACUUGGUGUUACUGCGAAGGGGGGACGGAGAAGGCUAUGUUGGCCGGGCGACGGUUGUCCCGGUUUAAGCGUGUAGGCUGGUUUUCCAGGCAAAUCCGGAAAAUCAAGGCUGAGGCGUGAUGACGAGGCACUACGGUGCUGAAGCAACAAAUGCCCUGCUUCCAGGAAAAGCCUCUAAGCAUCAGGUAACAUCAAAUCGUACCCCAAACCGACACAGGUGGUCAGGUAGAGAAUACCAAGGCGCUUGAGAGAACUCGGGUGAAGGAACUAGGCAAAAUGGUGCCGUAACUUCGGGAGAAGGCACGCUGAUAUGUAGGUGAAGUCCCUUGCGGAUGGAGCUGAAAUCAGUCGAAGAUACCAGCUGGCUGCAACUGUUUAUUAAAAACACAGCACUGUGCAAACACGAAAGUGGACGUAUACGGUGUGACGCCUGCCCGGUGCCGGAAGGUUAAUUGAUGGGGUCAGCGCAAGCGAAGCUCUUGAUCGAAGCCCCGGUAAACGGCGGCCGUAACUAUAACGGUCCUAAGGUAGCGAAAUUCCUUGUCGGGUAAGUUCCGACCUGCACGAAUGGCGUAAUGAUGGCCAGGCUGUCUCCACCCGAGACUCAGUGAAAUUGAACUCGCUGUGAAGAUGCAGUGUACCCGCGGCAAGACGGAAAGACCCCGUGAACCUUUACUAUAGCUUGACACUGAACAUUGAGCCUUGAUGUGUAGGAUAGGUGGGAGGCUUUGAAGUGUGGACGCCAGUCUGCAUGGAGCCGGCCUUGAAAUACCACCCUUUAAUGUUUGAUGUUCUAACGUGGACCCGUGAUCCGGGUUGCGGACAGUGUCUGGUGGGUAGUUUGACUGGGGCGGUCUCCUCCUAAAGAGUAACGGAGGAGCACGAAGGUUGGCUAAUCCUGGUCGGACAUCAGGAGGUUAGUGCAAUGGCAUAAGCCAGCUUGACUGCGAGCGUGACGGCGCGAGCAGGUGCGAAAGCAGGUCAUAGUGAUCCGGUGGUUCUGAAUGGAAGGGCCAUCGCUCAACGGAUAAAAGGUACUCCGGGGAUAACAGGCUGAUACCGCCCAAGAGUUCAUAUCGACGGCGGUGUUUGGCACCUCGAUGUCGGCUCAUCACAUCCUGGGGCUGAAGUAGGUCCCAAGGGUAUGGCUGUUCGCCAUUUAAAGUGGUACGCGAGCUGGGUUUAGAACGUCGUGAGACAGUUCGGUCCCUAUCUGCCGUGGGCGCUGGAGAACUGAGGGGGGCUGCUCCUAGUACGAGAG